UUUAUGUGUAUGUAUAUGUGCAUGUGCCUGUGUAUGUGUGGUCAUAUGCUACAUACACACAUGUGCCCAUGGAGACCAGAAGAGGACAC
Molecule: microRNA precursor, 89 nt
Filed under: Microtus ochrogaster (prairie vole)
Lineage: Eukaryota; Metazoa; Chordata; Mammalia; Rodentia; Cricetidae
Description: miRNA (ENSMOCG00000008404.1)
Source: RNAcentral